GAUGGCGGCGUGCUACCAUGCAAGUCGAACGUGAAAGUCCUUCGGGAUGAGUAAAGUGGCGCACGGGUGAGUAAUGCGUAGAUAAUCUGCCUGGUGAUCUGGGAUAACAUCUCGAAAGGGGUGCUAAUACCGGAUAAGCCCACGGGGUCUUCGGAUCUUGCGGGAAAAGGGGGGGACCUUCGGGCCUUCUGUCAUCAGAUGAGUCUACGUACCAUUAGCUAGUUGGUAGGGUAAAGGCCUACCAAGGCGACGAUGGUUAGCUGGUCUGAGAGGAUGAUCAGCCACACUGGAACUGAGACACGGUCCAGACUCCUACGGGAGGCAGCAGUGGGGAAUUUUGCGCAAUGGGGGAAACCCUGACGCAGCAACGCCGCGUGAGUGAUGAAGGCCUUCGGGUCGUAAAGCUCUGUCAGAGGGAAAGAAAUGUGGGGCGCUAAUACCGCUACCACUCGACGGUACCCUCAAAGGAAGCACCGGCUAACUCCGUGCCAGCAGCCGCGGUAAUACGGAGGGUGCGAGCGUUGUUCGGAAUUAUUGGGCGUAAAGCGCGUGUAGGCGGUUUUAUAAGUCUGAUGUGAAAGCCCCGGGCUCAACCUGGGAAGUGCAUUGGAUACUGUAAGACUUGAGUACGGGAGAGGGCAGUGGAAUUCCUAGUGUAGGAGUGAAAUCCGUAGAUAUUAGGAGGAACACCGGUGGCGAAGGCGGCUGCCUGGACCGAUACUGACGCUGAGACGCGAAAGCGUGGGUAGCAAACAGGAUUA
RNAcentral lists this ribosomal RNA (761 nucleotides) under uncultured delta proteobacterium. RNAcentral's name for it is "bacterial SSU rRNA". It matches the Rfam family "Bacterial small subunit ribosomal RNA", at positions 35 to 780 of the family's 1533-position model. The record is from RNAcentral. Lineage: Bacteria; Deltaproteobacteria.